UAUUUUUUAAUUAUGUAUUUAUGUUAAAUAUGCUAGUCCUUUCAUGAUUAUGUGAUAGGUGGUGCAUGGCCGUUCUUAGUUCGUGGAGUGAUCUGUCUGCUUAAUUGCGUUUCACUAAGGGCUUAUAAAUUUACGUGUGUUGUGAGUACUUUGACCCCUACGUUGAAAUAUUACGUAGUGCGCGUCUUAGUUUGCUUCACACACACAAUUAAGUCCUGAAAGCAACGAACGUGACCGCAACCUCUUGUUGCCUUUAAUACACAAAAACUUUAGUCAUAUAUUAUAUUUUUAAUAUAUUUAUGUAUUAUUGUUUAAAAAAAGGCUUUUAAACUAGAGGGACCGCUGUAAUCUUUUUAAACCAGAGGAAGGUUGCGGCAAUAACAGGUCUGUGAUGCCCUUAGAUGUUCCGGGCUGCACACGUGCUACAAUGAUUAUUGCAGUGAGCAUCUCAUUUUUUACACAUCGCAUGCGCGAGUCCAAUUAUUGGCAUUCCUUUAGUGUUUGCACUUUAAUUGUGUUUACUUUGCGCGCGAUAAAGCCUGCUUCGAAAGUAAGUGGGUAAUCAAUUAGAAGUAAUGAUUUCCCAAUUUAUAGCACACAUAUAUACGGCGUCUUUACCCGGAAUAAGCUUGUCUUAUUUUUUGUGUGUAUUGAUGUUUUUUCCGUAUGUGCAAUUGUCAAUUCAUGGUGGGGACAGACCAUUGUUAAUUGUUGGUCUCGGUCUUAACUAGGAAUGCCUUGUACGGGUCUUUGGUUCAACAAACCACCCGGAAUACGUCCCUGCCCUUUGUACACACCGCCCGUCGCUCUUACCGAUGGAC
RNAcentral lists this ribosomal RNA (821 nucleotides) under Pseudowebbinella goesi. Its description in RNAcentral is "bacterial SSU rRNA". It matches the Rfam family "Eukaryotic small subunit ribosomal RNA", at positions 1210 to 1694 of the family's 1831-position model. The record is from RNAcentral. Lineage: Eukaryota; Foraminifera; Textulariida; Globotextulariidae.